Molecule: long non-coding RNA, 620 nt
Organism: Sciurus carolinensis (gray squirrel)
Lineage: Eukaryota; Metazoa; Chordata; Mammalia; Rodentia; Sciuridae
Exons: 5
Source: RefSeq, a predicted model, not a curated record
CUCAGCAUCGCGAGAGCUCCGGCGAGACCGCCGGGGAGAGUCGCGCGCAGGCGCGGCCUCGCGCUCUUUCCGCGGUCAGCCGCGUGUCUGGAAGGCCUGGUGGCUCGGGUGGGCUGUGCUCCGUUGAGCAGCCCCGGGCUUUAGCUGAUGGGCUUUCUGGCAUUUGCAGAGAUGAGAAGCAGGGCUGCAGAUGGCAGUUUAAAAGUAACGGAUGGAACCCCAAAAUGAGUAAAGAUGGAUGCAAGCAGGUCUGGGUGGUUACCAGGAAUGAGAAAGCAGAGUGGCAUAAUGUCCGGUCACAUCCACCUCAUGGCGCUGUUCAGAAGUUAAGUUGAACUAUCAAAGGUAUUGGCUAUGGACUUAGAAGAAAGUCAUGUGAAACCCAUCAUCUUAAAGUAUUGCACUUGAGGAUCUUUGUGAUGAAAUUUCUGUAAAUGGUGCAGUCUCAGCCUCAGUUUCUGAACCUGGGAAAGGAUCCUCUAGCACAUUGUGGCAGCCACCAUGGACCUGAACCCCAAGUGAAAUGUCUCUCAUGUAAGCAGAGAAGUCCUUCUGGACAGGCUUGGGUGAGGGGUGUCUACUGAGUGAGGCAACUGUAAACUGCUUUGCCAAAAGGCAAG